Molecule: long non-coding RNA, 1447 nt
Organism: Orcinus orca (killer whale)
Lineage: Eukaryota; Metazoa; Chordata; Mammalia; Artiodactyla; Delphinidae
Exons: 4
Source: RefSeq, a predicted model, not a curated record
GAUUAUGCUUCCCCCAAAAAACUCUGGGAGAUAAAUGGGAGAAGAGGUCAGGGCAGAGAUGCAGAAGCUCUGGCUCUCGCCCUGCACCACCAUCUGAGGCCAGACCCUUAGGACUUGGCUGCUGAUACAGGACUGGUUAUUGAGAAUCAGCCAGCUCUGCAAUCACAGGUUUUGUUAUAUUCUGAUCCUUCAAACGAUGAACUCCUUCAUACUUCAUCUUUGCAAAAGUAACAGGAUUCCUCAAGUGACCCUGGGCAGAACAAAGAUCAGCUUCUCAAGGACAGAGCCUCAUAAGGGAAACAAGGUUAAGCAGUUGUGCAACUAUCACCACAAGCCCCUUUUAGAACACUUCCACCAGCCCCAGAGUCCCUGCGUGCCUGUGUGCUGUCAAUUACUGCUCCUUCCCUCGGGACAAGGCAACAACCAGUCUGCUUUCUGCCUCCGUGGGUUUGCCUUUUCUGGAAAUUUCAGGUAAAUAGAAUCAUACGAUACAUAGUCUUCUGUGUCUGGCUUCCUUCACUUAGCAUAAUAUUGUUGACGUUCACUCUUGGUGUUCCAUGUGACAGUAGUUUGUUUCUUCUGAUUGCUGAGUUGUAUUCCAUUGGAUGGAUAUACCACCGUUUGUUUAUACAUUGUCUGGUGAUGGACAUUGGGAUUGUUUCCAGUUUGGGGCUAUUAUGAAUCACGCCGCUGUGACCCUUCCUGUGCCAGCCUUUGUGUGGACAUAUGUUUUCUUUGCAAGGUUUUAAAGGCUAAGUAGGAGCUGACUAGGUCGUUAAAGCCAGAGGAAAACAUCCUGGGCAGGAUGCCCAAUAUGUGCAAAAGCUCAGAAAAUGAACGUGCCUGGUAUACACAGGGGAUGAUAGUAGUUCAGUACUGCAGGGAAAGAAAACUCUCUUUUCCGCUGCCCAUUUUGGGUUCAUUGCCUGGGGCCCUGAAAAUUAGACUGACAGAAGACAGAUUAAGGAGAAAAAAACAGAGUUUAUUAGGUCAUGCAUAGACAUGUGGAAGAACUCAGUGGUGAGUAACUCAAAGAGGUGGUCAGAACUGGGGCUUUUUUUUUUCUUUUUUGGGUGAAGUAGAAAAGAAUAGCUUUAUUGCUUUGCCAGGCAAAGAGCCACAGCAGGCUCAUGCCCUCAAAACUGUGUCCCAACCUGGAAGGGGUAGUGAGGAGUUUUACAGUAAUGGUUCAAAGAGGAGGGCGUGAUCAGCUGGUGGACAUUCUUCUGAUUGGUUGGUGGGGAGGUAAGCGGGAGUCGGCAUCGUCUGCCUUCUGGUUCCAACCAUUCUGGGGUCCACCUGCUUGUGGGCAGCACACAGUUAACUUCUCCCACCUGGUGGGGUUCAGUAUCUGGUUUCAGGACUUAAUGAAGCUCAGGUUCUUGAUGUCUCAUUGCAGAAAGAAUUCAGUGAGAGACAGAGCAAUAGGUAAGAAGUGGAUUUAGGG